AGCAGCCGCGGUAAUUCCAGCUCCAAUAGCGUAUAUUAAAGUUGUUGCAGUUAAAAGCUCGUAGUUGAAUUUCGGGGUCAGCAGGUCGGUCGUGCCACUGGUAUGUACUGGCUUUGCUGAUUCCUCCCUCUUGACGAACCGUAAUGCCAUUAAUUUGGUGCUGCGGGAAAUCAGGACUGUUACUUUGAAAAAUUGAGUGUUUAAAGCAGGCUUACGCUUGAAUACAUUAGCAUGGAAUAAUGAAAUAGGACGUUCGAUCCUAUUUUGUUGGUUUCU
This 276-nucleotide unclassified non-coding RNA is filed under the name uncultured Glomus. Its description in RNAcentral is "sequence contains 18S rRNA gene". It matches the Rfam family "Eukaryotic small subunit ribosomal RNA", at positions 569 to 853 of the family's 1831-position model. Lineage: Eukaryota; Fungi; Glomeromycota; Glomeromycetes; Glomerales; Glomeraceae. The record is from RNAcentral.